RNAcentral lists this ribosomal RNA (253 nucleotides) under uncultured bacterium. Its description in RNAcentral is "partial 16S ribosomal RNA". It matches the Rfam family "Bacterial small subunit ribosomal RNA", at positions 524 to 776 of the family's 1533-position model. The record is from RNAcentral.
AACGUAGGUUCCGAGCGUUAUCCGGAUUUACUGGGCGUAAAGCGCGUUCAGGCGGUUUGGCAAGUCGGGCGUGAAAUCCUUCGGCUCAACCGGGGGAGGUUGUCCGAUACUGCUAAACUGGAGGGCAGUAGAGGGUGGUGGAAUUCCCGGUGUAGUGGUGGAAUGCGUAGAUAUCGGGAGGAACACCAGUGGCGAAGGCGGCUCUCUGGACCGGUUCUGACGCUCAGGCGCGAAAGCGUGGGGAGCGAUCCGG